Long non-coding RNA from Pipra filicauda (Wire-tailed manakin), 526 nucleotides. RefSeq lists it as uncharacterized. NCBI's taxonomy places the organism in Eukaryota, Metazoa, Chordata, Aves, Passeriformes, Pipridae. The transcript is spliced from 5 exons. The record is from RefSeq and is a predicted model, not a curated record.
AGCUCAUCCCUGUAAUGGAACCAGGAAUGGACUUGGCUCCCUGACCUGCUGCCAACGUGUCACAGCACUUUUGUAUCUGCAUAAACAAAAGCCCACAGAAAAGCACAGUUAAGCCCUGUGGAUGGAAGGAGAAGCAGAGCCAACUGACUGGUACCUCUGUCUUUAAUGAAAUCCACUGUGCAGGAGGAGAGUGAUGCCAAGCUUUUUCAAAGACUUGUUGGAGGACAUAGGGACAUCAUAGAAAUAUCCUGGUGAAGAGGAGUCCCAGCAAAGGGCAGCAUGGAUGGCACAAAGGAAGGAGACCACUUCUUUUAGAAACAGAGACUAUCUUCAGUUGGAAGGGACCCACAAUGGUGCUCAUGCAUGAAGUCUGUGAUGACAUAGAAUAGCCAAAAAUAUGAAAAAUGGACCGGAAAAGAAGUCAAGGCAGGCUCCAACCAACAUGAUGUGGGUUUGACCACUUUAAGAAAGGUGUAACCAUUUCCUCAUGACAGAAGGAAUCACAGGGGAAGUGAAACAAUGCAUG